UUAAGUUCAGCGGGUAUUCCUACCUGAUCCGAGGUCAACCUUGAUACGGGGGGGUUUCACGGCAAGGACCCGACGCGUGCCCUGAGCGAGGAUGUUUACUGCACUCGGUACGACGACGAGCCCGCCACUGGAUUUAGGGGUCUGCGGCAGCCGCAGGGCCCCAACGCAAGCCGGGGCUUGAUGGUUGAAAUGACGCUCGA
RNAcentral lists this unclassified non-coding RNA (200 nucleotides) under uncultured Schizothecium. Its description in RNAcentral is "sequence contains ITS2". Lineage: Eukaryota; Fungi; Ascomycota; Sordariomycetes; Sordariales; Lasiosphaeriaceae. The record is from RNAcentral.